UUUUUUUUUUUUAAUGUUAGUAUUAUGCUGUCUGGGCUUAAAAAUCAUGUAAAAUAUUUCUUUUAAUAUGACUGACUAGUAGAAACUAUGAAGGCUUGAUCAAAUUCAUCAAAUAAGUUUGACCAAUUUGUUAAAUAAGUUCAAAUUUAACUUAUUUGCUUAAAUAAGUUAAAUUUGAACUUAGCCAGAGUUAACAAUCAAUUUAUAAGUAGUUUUCUAUGUAAUUGACUUUUACUAAGUAUGAUUCUGUUUGCAUUUUUUAGUACUAUGUACAUACAGUUAGGGAGUUUUAAUUGACAUGAUACCAAAGAGGAUGCAGAAAAUAAGCUAUUCCUUGUCAAGUACUGUUAAUGUAGUACACUAUUUUCUUAUGUAAUUUUUCUAUAUAAAAUUUAAAUUUUAGUAAAACAAGUUUCUAAUAGAGUCUAAUGAUUUGUUGUUGUUGUUUUGUUGUUGUUUUCUAGGUUUUCUUUGUGUAGCCUUGGCUGUCCUGGAACUCACUGCUAGACCAUGCUAUGCCUUGAACUCACUAGAUCUGCCUGCCUCUGCCUCCAGAGUGCUGGGACUAAAAGCAUACUCUCCCAUCACUACCACUCAGCAGAUUCUAAUGUUUCUAAUUUUUAAAACUUUGGCUUAAUGAGGUAUUCACAAAUGCUUGCUUUUGAGUGGUUGUCAGUCUUACAGAUAAUAAUCACUUAUUACUAUCAGUAGGCAUUAUUUUUAAACUUUGUUUUUGUUUUCAAAAUACAUUUGGUUUGUUGAGAAGAUUUAGAUUGAGUAGCAUUGCUACAGGUUUGCAAGAAUAUAGGUAAAGUAGAGUGAGCUCACUCUUUUGGUCUUUGGGAAUUUAUACAGUUAAGUUUGGUUGGGUGGGCAUGGUUGCUCACUCUUGUGUCUGCAUUGAGAAGGCUGAAGCAGGAAGGAUCACCCUAGUAUCCAACCCAUCUUGGCUACAUAGUAAGUUCUAGAGAAGUCUGGGCUGCACAGUAAGACCCUGUCUCAACAAAAUAAAACGUUUUAGGUUUGAGUCUGAAGAAGGAUAGUUGGUAGAAAAUGAGGAGGGGGGUACUUUAGAAUAGAUCUCUUUAUGAGACUUAAGUUUGGAGAUGGAAAACAGCAAAUGGUUACUUGAGGAAUUAGGGUUUGAAGCAUUUAAAAUGAUACAUGUCGGUGCUGGAGAGAUAGGCUCAGUGAUUAAGAGCACUGACUGAUCUUCCAGAGGUCCUGAGUUCCAUUCCUAGCAACUACAUGAUGGCCUUUUCUGAUGUGUCUGAAGAGAGGGACAGUGUACUCACAUGCAUAAAAUAAAUAAAUCUUUAAAAUGAUGCACGUUUACCUUUGUGACCUAAUGCAAUUAAAUAAUAAGAAUUAAACUUUUAAAUGUCAAGAACUAAAUUUUUGAGGCCAACAAGAUGACUCAGCCGGGAAAGACUUGCCAUGAACCCUGACAAUCUGGGUUCCAUCCCUGGGUCCAAAAAACAAAAAAGGAUUUUUGAAAGUUGUCUUUUGACCAGUGGCAUGUACACACCACAAACACACCCUGCCUCCA
This 1549-nucleotide long non-coding RNA is filed under the name Mus musculus (house mouse). Its description in RNAcentral is "long non-coding RNA chr2:122000647-122002196". The record is from RNAcentral. Lineage: Eukaryota; Metazoa; Chordata; Mammalia; Rodentia; Muridae.